This 108-nucleotide non-coding RNA is filed under the name Caulobacter henricii. RNAcentral describes it as "TPP sequence". It matches the Rfam family "TPP riboswitch aptamer (THI element)". From Rfam's summary of the family: Vitamin B(1) in its active form thiamin pyrophosphate (TPP) is an essential coenzyme that is synthesised by coupling of pyrimidine and thiazole moieties in bacteria. The record is from Rfam by way of RNAcentral. Lineage: Bacteria; Pseudomonadati; Pseudomonadota; Alphaproteobacteria; Caulobacterales; Caulobacteraceae.
GGCUGUUCACCGGGGGGCCGCUUCGCGCGGCUGAGAUUGGGCCCAGGGCCCUGACCCGUCGAACCUGAUCCGGGUCAUGCCGGCGAAGGGAGGGAACGCGGUCGGGGC